RNAcentral lists this unclassified non-coding RNA (337 nucleotides) under soil metagenome. RNAcentral describes it as "partial contains 5.8S ribosomal RNA, internal transcribed spacer 2, and large subunit ribosomal RNA". The stretch from base 1 to 120 matches the Rfam family "5.8S ribosomal RNA", at positions 35 to 154 of the family's 154-position model. The record is from RNAcentral.
GAUGAAGAACGUAGCGAAAUGCGAUAAGUAGUGUGAAUUGCAGAAUUCAGUGAAUCAUCGAAUCUUUGAACGCACAUUGCGCCCCUUGGUAUUCCAUGGGGCAUGCCUGUUCGAGCGUCAUUUGUACCUUCAAGCCUUGCUUGGUGUUGGGUGUUUGUCUCGCCUCUGCGCGCAGACUCGCCUCGAAACAAUUGGCAGCCGGCGUAUUGAUUUCGGAGCGCAGUACAUCUCGCGCUUUGCACUCAGAACGACGACGUCCAAAAGUACAUUUUUACACUCUUGACCUCGGAUCAGGUAGGGAUACCCGCUGAACUUAAGCAUAUCAAUAAGCGGAGGA